RNAcentral lists this long non-coding RNA (2572 nucleotides) under Fragaria vesca (wild strawberry). Its description in RNAcentral is "long non-coding RNA (FVES_LNC002263)". Lineage: Eukaryota; Viridiplantae; Streptophyta; Magnoliopsida; Rosales; Rosaceae. The record is from RNAcentral.
UUGGGAACUUAGUUACAAUGUACAUGUGGACUAGGCUAAAAACCUAUGGUUGUUUAACUCGUAAUAAGAGGAUUCUGGCUUCAUCUAAUGUAAUAUGUGUUGUGGCAUGCUUUGUUUACCGAUCCAUCUUUCUUGUGAUCUUUCUUGUCGACUCUACGUGGAGUGUUUGAAAUUGCCAUAUUUUAUGUAGCCUAAAAUGGCAAAACAUAUAUGUUUGAUAUUACACACCAGCGCUAUACAUGUACCAAACACUAGAACCUGUAUGUAGUCAUGAUCAAAGCCAAAGCCAUAUAAUGUAGUCAAUGUUGGUCAAAGCCAUAUAAACUCAGUUGUGAGAUUGUUAAUUGAUCGUUGUGAACUGAUGGAUUGGCGUCGGCCACGCUCAGACUAGACGAAACGUGUGAGUGAGUUCGAUAUACUGCAUGUCGUUCGGUUGAAAACGACUCAAAUAGUUAUCGUGUGACAUCAUCCACUCAUUGUAUAUAUAACACGUUUGUUACUCAUAAUAGGACAGGACCAGACUGUCUUACAUAGUCUAAUAUCACAAAUCUCACGUUUAGCAACAAGCAAGACUUUUUUAAGGAGCAUACAUAGUCUGAAUUCUUCAUGAGACAUUUUACUAUAGACUGUCCAAAAACCAUGAGUUUGUUGGAGCCCUUCUUCUCUCUGAGUGAGUUCUCUAUAUUUUGAGCGUGUCGCAGCUCAAUAGCCUCCUAGCCUCACCACCAAUAUUAGGCUAACAUCGUCACUUUUAGCCCUGACCUCUCCAAGAGUCCAAGUCGGAUAUGAGUCCCUAAUAUAUGAAGCUUCCCCAAAAUUUCCAUGAUUCCUUGUUACUAGUACCAAAUUCUGCAACAAUGACUUAAUUGUUAGACAAUAUUCGAUAAUAUUUGACAUAAGAAAGAAGGAGAGACUUUUUAAUGAGGACUCUUAAGAACGAAAAGUCUUCAACUUAUGAGUUCUCACGAGAAUGGCUCACAUAUAAACAAAAUACUUGGUAUAGAGUACAAUCAUAUUUUCGUAUUUUUAAGAAAGUUGGAAUUGAGAAGAUGAAAAUGGUUCAUUGGGCCAAAGCCCAGAUUCGAUUUUAGGCUGAAAGCCCAAGUUUAAAUCAUGACACGCCAUAACCUCAUCUUUAUAUAUAGAUCAGAUCGAGGCCUUGCUCCUUUGGGAUCGAAAUAGCAACCGAAUUGAAGGAGAGAGACGCCAAACCCUAAUCGAAGCCAGCGAUGAAGACCAUGAGGCUCCAACCCUCGUCACCGGACCCAAACCAACCCAAGAAGGCGAAGCCGGACAGCAUCGAUGAAGAACAUUUAGCCCGCUUUUUUUUUACUCCUGAAGAUCGAAAUCUCCCGCCAGACGAAUUUUGGAGUAAGCGUACGGACGGCUUCAUCGAAGGUAUGCUCUUGAUUUUGUUUUUUGUUUUUUGAUUACGAGGAAUCAGUACAAUACAAAUAGUGCUUUAUUUGUUUGAAUUAAUGAAUGAAUUGAAGAACAGAGAAUAGUAAAGAGGAAAAUUGCAUCGAUCUAGUUUGCUCAUUCUGCGUAUGAUUAUUAUUCAGAGUUAGGGUUUUAAUUAUGUGCUCUGUAUCAUAUUUGUGUAUUAAGAUUCAUUGAUCACCAACACCACUAGUUUGAUUAGGAUCAUGCCGCUGAUCUCUGAUGUUUCUGAUUGAAUUCAUUUCAUUUGAUUUGCUCAUCAUUGAGUCAUUAUUGUCUCUCAUUAAGACAUACAUUUCAUUAUCCUGACUUUUCUAUGUCUUUCAUUCGAUACCGCCGGGUUCUGUUUUAACCUUUUUUUUUUUUCUUUUUUUUCCGGGUGCAAAGCUAUGAUGGAAAAAAUUCCUAAAUCUUGUGCGGGGUUAGAAAAGAAGCUUCCAGAAACUUUACCAGAGGGAUGUACAUGGGGUUAUGACGUCCCUGGGAGUGGACUUAGAAGCUAUGUUGUUAAGAUGUUUUGCCUCUAUUGUGGUGCGGCUCACUUGGAGGAGGACUGCCCGAAGAAGGAUACUCAAGGGGCCAAGCCUAUAUUCAAUUUCCCCAUCUUCCGCCCCAAGACCAAGUAACUCAUUGUGUAUGAGUCGUGUUUAUCCGUCUACAUUACUUAUCUCCCUAUAUGAAUGUAUGAUGUUAGCACUUAGCAAUCCUAUGAUCUACCUAAGUCUUCUGGAUAUUGGGAACUUAGUUACAGUGUGCAUGUGGACUAGGCUAAAAACCUAUGGUUGUUUAACUCGUAAUAAGAGGAUUCUGGCUUCAUCUAAUGGGAUAUGUGUUGUGGCAUGCUUUGUUUACCGGUCCAUCUUUCUUGUCGACUCUACGUGGAGUGUUUGAAAUUGCCAUAUUUUAUGUAGCCUAAAAUGGCAAAACAUAGAUACAUGUACCAAAGACUAGAACCUGUAUGUAGUCAUGAUCAAAGCCAAAGCCAUAUAAUGUAGUCAAUGUUGAUCAUAGACAUAUAAACUCAGUUGUGAGAUUGUUAAUUGAUCGUUGUGAACUGUUUGAUAACCUCCUUCACCACAUCACCUACUUGUUUUUAAGCUCUUUGAUCCCCUGGUCUUGAUUUUUCUGCCCG